CAUAUAUAUAAUAUACCUAUAAUAUACCUAAUAUAAUAUUGCCAACACACACACACAGACACAUGCACACACACAUAUAUAUAUAUAAUAUACCUAAUAUAAUAUUAAUAAAGUUCGGUUCGGGAUCGGGAAUACCGAAAAUUUCAAAUUGUAAUACCGAUCCCAUACCGAACAAUUCGGGAUCGGUUCGGUUUCGGUACUAAAAUUUUCGGGAUUUUUGGUUCGGUAUUUUUUCGGUUUGGUUUCGGUAUGGUUUCGGUAUGGUUCGGGAUUUUUGGUAUUUUUUUCCAGCCCUAGUGAAACAUUGUUUGAGAAACGUUUUGGGCCUCAUUACAAUUUUUUUCACAUAUUUUUUAAGUUUCGGUUUAAAUAUUCUACUAUAAAUACAUUUGUGGCUUUAAUAACUGGUAAAACCACUUUCAAAUAUCUUGUUAAGUUUUUCUUAACGUCAUGGAUUUUUUUUUACGAAAAUGAAACAUUUGCAUUUUUCACAAAAAAAAAUGUGGUUUGUCAAUUUUGUAAAUUUGUAUAAAAAUCUUCAUUAAGUCCAUUUGUUUUCACAUUCACCUUACAAUGAGGCACUUAAAAUUAAUUUAUAACUUUCCAUCGAUACUUGAGUAUAGACCCUUGUUAAGGCAAAGAGUUGGGCUUCACUACAAUUUUUUUUCAUUUAUUUUUUAGGUUUCGUGUCACAUCUUGCCCUGGCCCCCA
This 711-nucleotide long non-coding RNA is filed under the name Malus domestica (apple). RNAcentral's name for it is "long non-coding RNA (MDOM_LNC008917)". Lineage: Eukaryota; Viridiplantae; Streptophyta; Magnoliopsida; Rosales; Rosaceae. The record is from RNAcentral.